RNAcentral lists this long non-coding RNA (2279 nucleotides) under Bemisia tabaci. RNAcentral describes it as "lncRNA ENSSSA2NGG009783". The record is from RNAcentral. Lineage: Eukaryota; Metazoa; Arthropoda; Insecta; Hemiptera; Aleyrodidae.
AAGUUGACUCUCCAAGCCAAACGGAGCAGAUCUAGGCUCUCUCGAUUGUUUCAAUAAAAAACGGUCCGACUUGCGACCUGUUCGUUAAAAUUGAUAUAGACAAAUUUAUAGAAAAAGAAGAAAAAAGGGAUAUGAAGGGGUACUACUGGUGGAAGCGGCUGGUUGCAACGGAUAUAGGAGGUAGGUAAUGGACUUACUAACGGCAAUACACGAGAAACGCUUCAGUUAGUUGAUCAUUUUCUCCCUUCGCCUAUAUCGAAAACGCUCAUUUCAACCAAUAGGAUUGCUCCAUACUCCAUUUUUCUUUUUUGUCUAUCGCUUUGUCUAUCAAUUCAGAAAAUCAGAAUUACGGUUGGUUUAGAUCAAACGGCUACACAUUAAGUUAAGAGAAUAUGUUGUCGUGGUUAAAUCUGCAUUUUUGGCUUAAAUAGUUUCAGAGGAAAAAUCCACGAGACUUUCAUUUAGUCAAAUAUUUUUAGGCUCACUAGUUUCCCAAUGAUUUUAUCGACACAGAGUCCAUUCUGCGCAUCUUUCGCCCGACCUUCCUUUAUUUUUAUCCUGUGGAGAGACGAUUUCCCAGUAUUUUUCCGCCUAAUGCAUCAAGCUAGGAUCCUUCAAUUUUUCCAAGAAACAGAUUCUCGGGAGAAUUGCGUCACGGCAUUUUGAAUACGCAUCGAGAGUUUCUUUUUUGUUCGUGGUACUUAUAAAUAGAGGGCUUUCUGAAGAUUUUAUUCAAUCCUUUGUUGUCCUCGAAGCUGUGUUCAUUGAAAUAUUUUCAGAGGCUACGUGUUUUUUUGAGAUCCAUUGGAGCGACCAACUAAAAAGGAUUUAGGACCGCCGAAGGGCAGUAUGUUCCUACCAGUGGCGUCCAGACUCCUUCUGGGACUCCUCUGUUUCAACGAAUUUUUCCGACCGGAAGUAACCGCGGCUAGUUACCUCUGUCGGAAAAUGCCUGGCCUCUUGCGAGGUACAAUAGUCGAGACUCAACCGUUUUUAUUAAGUCCUAAAGGCAAGAAGCAGCAGUAUAAAUCGUGGUGCGGCCAACAAAGCGGCCAGUUCCUUGCAGUGCAAACGGACCAACUUUUCCAUUUAACAUGUGCUGGUGCCAAACAUCUAAAGGAGGCCAGGGGAGCAAUCCUCGACAAUGCCGAUCAAGGGGCAAGAGAGCUCACAUUCGAGGAAAAUGAAGUAUGUAACACCCGUAAAGUUACUCUCGUAUCCAAUGAUAAUGCGGCAAUCCUAGCUCGUAAACUUGACAACGUUGAGGUGCCUUUUGACCAUGCGGUUCACUACGCCUUCAUGAACUCUCCAAACGCGGCUGCCAUGUACUCCCGGAAUCGUCAACAGGCGCUUUUUCACUUGUACUUCAAUAUGGCAGGUACUUUUAGUAUGAUGAUACUAUGGGUAGUUUUAUACAUCGUGGAGAUGAUAUCUGCACCAAGACUCCUGGAUCAUAGACGCAGCCACUUCACAUUUGUUAUUAGUAAGUUCAUUGGAAUGGGACAUCCGUUUUACUUCUGCGCAGUGAAGUCUGCAAGACAAUUCAUUGGUCCUUUCCUGUUCUUCAGUGUCUGCCUCACGGCUGCAUGUUUAGGAAACUGUUCCGUGGCUGCAACCUGGUGCGAGAAUGUACGCUCUGCAGCCUUCUCGGCUCAGCUCAAUUUUCCCCUAACGAGGAAGGACCUUGCAUUCAUUAUCAGAAGGACGUAUAACCAAGAGAAGUUCUCCGCUGUGCUCACCACAUCUUUAACAUUUCACAGUGUUUUUAAGAUGCUUCAACUACUCUGGAACUAUUUCACCCUGUGCAGCAGGCAGAGGAUAGCCGCACACCUUGGACGCUAGGUUACGUUGUUCCUACAAGAAAAUUUUCCACUUUACUCGUGACAAAUCACGCAAAAUAGACAAAAGACAGAAAACUCGACUUUCCUGAUUAUUUGGAAAAUAUUGCGAUCAAUGGUUGAUGUAAUUCACGAUAAUUUAGAAAUAAAAGGCCAGACUAGUUUUAUUCACCACUUGCGCUUCUCCUUACAAUGCCUGCUAUCAUGAUGUUCAAAUGCUUACGAUUUCAAACCAAAUGAACAUUUUAGAAUCUUUUUUUUUUUUCUAAGAAAAUGUUAGCCUAAUCGAUACACACUAGAAUACUGCCAUGCUAAGUAAAAACGCCGUAUGAACCCUCAGGCGUUGCCAAAUUUCCAUUGGAAAAUCACGAAUUUUCGGGAGAGUUUGUUAAUAUUUCUCUUCCAAUUUUCCAGGCAAUUUUGUUCUCAAUUUUAUCUAAA